This 395-nucleotide ribosomal RNA is filed under the name Tintinnidium balechi. RNAcentral's name for it is "partial small subunit ribosomal RNA". It matches the Rfam family "Eukaryotic small subunit ribosomal RNA", at positions 30 to 432 of the family's 1831-position model. Lineage: Eukaryota; Ciliophora; Spirotrichea; Tintinnida; Tintinnidiidae. The record is from RNAcentral.
GCUUGUCUCAAAGAUUAAGCCAUGCAUGUCUAAGUAUAAAUGCUAUACAAUGAAACUGCGAAUGGCUCAUUAAAACAGUUAUAGUUUAUUUGGUAAUACACUUACAUGGAUAACCGUGGUAAUUCUAGAGCUAAUACAUGCUGUUAAGCCUGACUUCUUGAAGGGCUGUAUUUAUUAGAUAACAGACCAAUAUUCCUCGUGUGUAUUGUGGUGACUCAUAGUAACUGAUCGGAUCGCACGGGCUUGCCCACGACAAACCAUUCAAGUUUCUGCCCCAUCAGCUUUCGAUGGUAGUGUAUUGGACUACCAUGGCUUUUACUGGCAACAUCAAAUGAAUUUAAAUUAUCUGAGAAGGAGCCUGAGAAACGGCUACCACAUCUAAGGAAGGCAGCAGG